CCUACGGGUGGCAGCAGUGAGGAAUAUUGGUCAAUGGACGAGAGUCUGAACCAGCCAAGUAGCGUGAAGGAUGACUGCCCUAUGGGUUGUAAACCUCUUUUAUAUGGGAAUAAAAUGUUCCAUGUGUGGGAUUUUGUAUGUACCAUAUGAAUAAGGAUCGGCUAACUCAGUGCCAGCAGCCGCGGUAAUGCGGAGGAUCCGAGCGUUAUCCGGAUUUAUUGGGUUUAAAGGGAGCGUAGGUGGAUUGUUAAGUCAGUUGUGAAAGUUUGCGGCUCAACCGUAAAAUUGCAGUUGAAACUGGCAGUCUUGAGUACAGUAGAGGUGGGCGGAAUUCGUGGUGUAGCGGUGAAAUGCUUAGAUAUCACGAAGAACUCCGAUUGCGAAGGCAGUUCACUGGACUGCAACUGACACUGAGGCUCGAAAGUGUGGGUAUCAAACAGGAUUAGAUACCCGGGUAGUC
Molecule: ribosomal RNA, 460 nt
Filed under: uncultured bacterium
Lineage: Bacteria
Description: partial 16S ribosomal RNA
Rfam family: Bacterial small subunit ribosomal RNA
Source: RNAcentral